CCUACGGGGGGCAGCAGUGAGGAAUAUUGGUCAAUGGGCGGAAGCCUGAACCAGCCAAGUAGCGUGCAGGAUGACGGCCCUACGGGUUGUAAACUGCUUUUAUACGGGAAUAACGCGCCUUACGUGUAGGGCUUUGCAUGUACCUUAUGAAUAAGGACCGGCUAAUUCCGUGCCAGCAGCCGCGGUAAUACGGAAGGUCCGGGCGUUAUCCGGAUUUAUUGGGGUUAAGGGGAGCGUAGGCCGGAUGUCAAGCUUGAUGUGAAAUGUCCGGGCUCAACCCGGGAAUUGCAGUGGGAACUGGCAUGCUUGAGUACGGGGAAGGCAGGCGGAAUUCGUGGUGUAGCGGUGAAAUGCUUAGAUAUGACGAAGAACCCCGAUUGCGAAGGCAGCUUGCUACAGCGGAACUGACGCUGAUGCUCGAAAGCGCGGGUAUCGAACAGGAUUAGAUACCCGGGUAGUC
RNAcentral lists this ribosomal RNA (460 nucleotides) under uncultured bacterium. Its description in RNAcentral is "partial 16S ribosomal RNA". It matches the Rfam family "Bacterial small subunit ribosomal RNA", at positions 338 to 795 of the family's 1533-position model. The record is from RNAcentral.